Molecule: ribosomal RNA, 505 nt
Filed under: uncultured bacterium
Lineage: Bacteria
Description: bacterial SSU rRNA
Rfam family: Bacterial small subunit ribosomal RNA
Source: RNAcentral
AAUCAACGCUGGCGGCGUGCCUAACACAUGCAAGUCGAACGAGAAAGUGGGGGCAACCCUGCGAGUACAGUGGCAGACGGGUGAGUAACACGUGAACAACCUACCCUUGAGUGGGGGAAUAACACCGCGAAAGCGGAGCUAAUACCGCAUAACAUCUUGAGCUCGCAUGGGCGAGAGAUCAAAGCCGAAAGGCGCUUGAGGAGGGGGUUCGCGGCUGAUUAGCUAGUUGGUGAGGUAACGGCUCACCAAGGCGACGAUCAGUAGCCGGCCUGAGAGGGCGAACGGCCACACUGGAACUGAGACACGGUCCAGACUCCUACGGGAGGCAGCAGUGGGGAAUUUUGCGCAAUGGGCGAAAGCCUGACGCAGCAACGCCGCGUGGAGGAUGAAGGCCUUCGGGUCGUAACUACCUGUCGACGGGGAAGAAAGCCGAAAGGUUUAGACUGUACCCGUUGAGGAGCCACGGCUACUCCGUGCCAGCAGCCGCGGUAAUACAUACUCGUAC